GGGUCAGUAGGUUGGUCGUGCCACCGGUACGUACUGGUCUCACUGAUUCCUCCUUCCUGAAGAACCGUAAUGCCAUUAAUUUGGUGUUGCGGGGAAACAGGACUGUUACUUUGAAAAAAUUAGAGUGUUUAAAGCAAGCUAACGCUUGAAUACAUUAGCAUGGAAUAAUGAAAUAGGACGAUCGAUCCUAUUUUGUUGGUUUCUAGGAUUGACGUAAUG
Molecule: ribosomal RNA, 219 nt
Filed under: Glomeromycotina sp.
Lineage: Eukaryota; Fungi; Glomeromycota
Description: partial small subunit ribosomal RNA
Rfam family: Eukaryotic small subunit ribosomal RNA (bases 40-219)
Source: RNAcentral